GAUGAACGCUGGCGGCGCGCCUAACACAUGCAAGUCGAACGGCACCCCUCUCCGGAGGGAAGCGAGUGGCGAACGGCUGAGUAACACGUGGAGAACCUGCCCCCUCCCCGGGAUAGCCGCCCGAAAGGACGGGUAAUACCGGAUACCCCGGGGUGCCGCAUGGCACCCCGGCUAAAGCCCCGACGGGAGGGGAUGGCUCCGCGGCCCAUCAGGUAGACGGCGGGGUGACGGCCCACCGUGCCGA
Molecule: ribosomal RNA, 244 nt
Filed under: uncultured Actinomycetes bacterium
Lineage: Bacteria; Bacillati; Actinomycetota; Actinomycetes
Description: uncultured actinobacterium partial 16S ribosomal RNA
Rfam family: Bacterial small subunit ribosomal RNA
Source: RNAcentral